UCUGAGAGGAUGAUCAGCCACACUGGAACUGACACACGGUCCAGACUCCUACGGGAGGCAGCAGUGAGGAAUUUUGCGCAAUGGGGGAAACCCUGACGCAGCAACGCCGCUUGAGUGAUGAAGGCCCUCGGGUCGUAAAGCUCUGUCAAGUGGGAAGAAAAUGUAAAAUGCUAAUAUCAUUUUGCACUGACGGUACCACUGAAGGAAGCACCGGCUAACUCCGUGCCAGCAGCCGCGGUAAUACGGAGGGUGCAAGCGUUAUUCGGAAUUAUUGGGCGUAAAGGGCGCGUAGGCGGCCCUUUAAGUCAGAUGUGAAAGCCCGGGGCUUAACCCCGGAAGUGCAUUUGAAACUAAAGGGCUUGAGUAUGGGAGAGGGAAGUGGAAUUCCUGGUGUAGCGGUGAAAUCGUAGAUAUCAGGAGGAACACCGGUGGCGAAGGCGACUUCCUGGACCAAUACUGACGCUAAGGCGCGAAGGCGUGGGUAGCAAACAGGAUUAGAUACCCUGGUAGUCCACGCAGUAAACGGUGAACACUAGGUGUAGCGGGUAUUGACCCCUGCUGUGCCGCAGCUAACGCAUUAAGUGUUCCGCCUGGGGAGUACGGUCGCAAGAUUAAAACUCAAAGGAAUUGACGGGGGCCCGCACAAGCGGCGGAGCAUGUGGUUUAAUUCGACGCAACGCGAAGAACCUUACCUGGAUUUGACAUCCCGGGAAGUCUUUUGAAAGAAAGAUGUGCCCUUCGGGGAACCCGGUGACAGGUGCUGCAUGGCUGUCGUCAGCUCGUGUCGUGAGAUGUUGGGUUAAGUCCCGCAACGAGCGCAACCCCUAUCUUUAGUUACCAUCAUUUAGUUGGGGACUCUAAAGAUACUGCUCCGGUUAACGGGGAGGAAGGUGGGGAUGACGUCAAGUCCUCAUGGCCUUUAUGUCCAGGGCUACACACGUGCUACAAUGGGCUGUACAAAGGGUUGCGAACCCGCGAGGGUGAGCCAAUCCCAGAAAGUAGCUCCUAGUUCGAAUUGGAGUCUGCAACUCGACUCCAUGAAGCUGGAAUCGCUAGUAAUCGUGGAUCAGCAUGCCACGGUGAAUACGUUCCCGGGCCUUGUACACACCGCCCGUCACACCAUGAGAGUUGGUUGUACCAGAAGUUGUUGGACUAACCUGUAAAGGAAGUAGGCACCUAAGGUAUGGCUGAUGAUUGGGGUGAAGUCGUAACAAGGUA
This 1218-nucleotide ribosomal RNA is filed under the name metagenome. Its description in RNAcentral is "bacterial SSU rRNA". It matches the Rfam family "Bacterial small subunit ribosomal RNA", at positions 291 to 1498 of the family's 1533-position model. The record is from RNAcentral.